RNAcentral lists this ribosomal RNA (253 nucleotides) under uncultured bacterium. RNAcentral's name for it is "partial 16S ribosomal RNA". It matches the Rfam family "Bacterial small subunit ribosomal RNA", at positions 524 to 776 of the family's 1533-position model. The record is from RNAcentral.
UACGGAGGGUGCAAGCGUUAUCCGGAUUCACUGGGUUUAAAGGGUGCGUAGGAGGGCAGGUAAGUCAGUGGUGAAAUCUCCGAGCUUAACUCGGAAACUGCCGUUGAUACUAUCUGUCUUGAAUACCGUGGAGAUGAGCGGAAUAUGUCAUGUAGCGGUGAAAUGCUUAGAUAUGACAUAGAACACCAAUUGCGAAGGCAGCUCGUUACACGAAUAUUGACUCUGAGGCACGAAAGCGUGGGGAUCAAACAGG